GAGAUUUUAAAGCUUCAAACUUUCAACAAAAUUAUUUUACUUUUUUGUAGAGAGAUGAUCAUCGAUCUCAUCUUCGAAAACCUUAAAUUCAACCCAUUACGAGUUUGAUUCUUCGGUAUUAUUUUUUCUCUCUCGACAGAUCCAGGAUUCGAUGGUUAAUCAGAAGGCUGUUUUGGCUGUGACAGAUGAUGUUGUGUUGCUUGUUAGCUCUGUUCUAACUAUUAUGGAACAGCUUGGAAAGGAGCGUUUUGAUCCUCUGAUUAUUACUCAAACAUCUACAAUAAUUCUUAGAUGUUAAUCCAGAACUUGGAAAUUCCUAUAACGAGGUCAUUGCUCCUCAAGAUGUUGCUACCUAUGGUGGACUCUGUGCCCUGGCAAGUUUUGAUCGAUCAGAAUUGAAGGCAUGUAUCCUAUUUAGCUUUUAUUUUACUCUGCCAGUUUGUUCCCAGUGUUUGCUUGUUGCAGCCGUUAUGCUUCCUGUCUGGAAUAUCUAGCAAGUCUGAAAGCGAACUUGCUGCUGGACAUCCAUCUUCAUGACCACGUUGACACACUGUAUGAUCAGAUAAGGAAGAAGGCACUGAUCCAGUACACACUGCCAUUUGUGUCUGUUGAUUUGAGCAGGAUGGCUGAUGCAUUCAAGACUAGUGUCUCUGGUCUAGAGAAGGAACUAGAAUACAUGAUCACAGACAACCAGAUUCAGGUUGAGAAGAAAUGG
Molecule: non-coding RNA, 715 nt
Organism: Camelina sativa (false flax)
Lineage: Eukaryota; Viridiplantae; Streptophyta; Magnoliopsida; Brassicales; Brassicaceae
Source: RefSeq, a predicted model, not a curated record